RNAcentral lists this ribosomal RNA (612 nucleotides) under Chionaspis wistariae. RNAcentral's name for it is "eukaryotic LSU rRNA". It matches the Rfam family "Eukaryotic large subunit ribosomal RNA", at positions 434 to 936 of the family's 3401-position model. Lineage: Eukaryota; Metazoa; Arthropoda; Insecta; Hemiptera; Diaspididae. The record is from RNAcentral.
AUCUGGGCGGCGGAAUUCAGGACUCGGCCGUUUGAUAUUUCCGUCGCCCAGACGUCGCGACCUGUUUGUCGUCGGUCCUUGCUCGGAGGAAUCGCGAUCGAGUUCGUUGCGGGCGCGUUUCGGCGUGGAAGACGCGACUCUCUGGCUGACGACGGACAGUAAGCAACGGUGUCCGACGCGUCGGUGCCGGUCAGCGACGAUUUCUUCGGGCCUCUUUCCGACCCGUCUUGAAACACGGACCAAGGAGUCUAACAUGCGCGCGAGUCGCGGGGUUUCGAGCGUGCCACGGUGCGCUCGUUACUUCCGAAACCCGGAAGGCGUAAUGAAAGUGAAUAGGGAAGAUGGCGUUCCGAGUCCACGUACCGUGAUCGAGUAUCGCGGCCGGACGUCCGCACUCCCGGGGCGUCUCAAUGGUUCGCCGCGGAUGCGGACGAGGGGCGGUCGUCGGUCUGCGGCGGUCCGAGGCGCACCUAUAGCGUGCACGUUGGUACCCGAAAGAUGGUGAACUAUGCCUGGCCAGGAUGAAGUCAGGGGAAACCCUGAUGGAGGUCCGCAGCGAUUCUGACGUGCAAAUCGAUCGUCUGAGCUGGGUAUAGGGGCGAAAGACUAAUC